Molecule: ribosomal RNA, 470 nt
Filed under: Veillonella parvula
Lineage: Bacteria; Bacillati; Bacillota; Negativicutes; Veillonellales; Veillonellaceae
Description: bacterial SSU rRNA
Rfam family: Bacterial small subunit ribosomal RNA
Source: RNAcentral
GACGAACGCUGGCGGCGUGCUUAACACAUGCAAGUCGAACGAAGAGCGACGGAAGCUUGCUUCUAUCAAUCUUAGUGGCGAACGGGUGAGUAACGCGUAAUCAACCUGCCCUUCAGAGGGGGACAACAGUUGGAAACGACUGCUAAUACCGCAUACGAUCUGACCUCGGCAUCGAGGAUAGAUGAAAGGUGGCCUCUACAUGUAAGCUAUCACUGAAGGAGGGGAUUGCGUCUGAUUAGCUAGUUGGAGGGGUAACGGCCCACCAAGGCGAUGAUCAGUAGCCGGUCUGAGAGGAUGAACGGCCACAUUGGGACUGAGACACGGCCCAGACUCCUACGGGAGGCAGCAGUGGGGAAUCUUCCGCAAUGGACGAAAGUCUGACGGAGCAACGCCGCGUGAGUGAUGACGGCCUUCGGGUUGUAAAGCUCUGUUAAUCGGGACGAAAGGCCUUCUUGCGAAUAGUUAGGAGG